AACGAACGCUGGCGGCAUGCCUAACACAUGCAAGUCGAACGGGAUCCUAGCUUGCUAGGUGAGAGUGGCGGACGGGUGAGUAACACGUGGGAAUCUGCCUUUUGGUUCGGGAUAACCGCGGGAAACUGCGGCUAAUACCGAAUGCCCUCGAGAGAGGAAAGAUUUAUCGCCAGAAGAGGAGCCCGCGUCCGAUUAGGUAGUUGGUGGGGUAAAGGCCUACCAAGCCGACGAUCGGUAGCUGGGUCUGAGAGGAUGAUCAGCCACACUGGGACUGAGAUACGGCCCAGACUCCUACGGGAGGCAGCAGU
RNAcentral lists this ribosomal RNA (308 nucleotides) under uncultured bacterium. Its description in RNAcentral is "bacterial SSU rRNA". It matches the Rfam family "Bacterial small subunit ribosomal RNA", at positions 29 to 355 of the family's 1533-position model. The record is from RNAcentral.